RNAcentral lists this transfer RNA (72 nucleotides) under Ovis aries (sheep). It matches the Rfam family "tRNA". Rfam says of the family: Transfer RNA (tRNA) molecules are approximately 80 nucleotides in length. The record is from Rfam by way of RNAcentral. Lineage: Eukaryota; Metazoa; Chordata; Mammalia; Artiodactyla; Bovidae.
UCCCUGAUAGCUCAGUUGGUAUAGAAUCUGCCUGCAAUGCAGGAAACCCUGGUUCGAUUCCUGGGUCGGGAA